UUCUAUUGUACUUGUUGUUAACAUCACCGAUCUUCGACUCCGUUCAUGGCAUCCACAGCAUCUAUCGACUCUCAACUCAUGCAAGCGCUCGAAUCCCAGACACGGGCGCUGUUGUCCGAACUGGACAAGCGUCUUCGCGCCAUCGAUUCCAAGUGGGAAUCUCGUGUUGCAGUCCUCGAAGUCCAGGUUGCAGACUCCAUGCGUCGCCUGGACUCGCUCCCCAAGGAGAUCCGCGAUGGGGUGGAUUCGCAGCUGGCGACGGCCGACAAAGCUGUGGAUGACCGGAUCCGCCAUCUUAAGGCAACCACCCUCACUCGUGUCGCGGCGUUAGCGUCGAGGACCCACGUCUUCGAGCUGUGACGACUACGGAUCGAGUCCUCGAUCGGCGGGAUCUACACGGACAUGGAGGUCAUUUGUUCCGAGAUCGAGUAGAUCGGGGUCCAGGUGUCGUCUUGCCUUCAUCCCAGCGAUGGCGGCACGCCUGGCAUCCUCGGUACACCCGGAUAGGUGAUGGGUCGCUCUCCUGUUAUCUUCAACAACACUGAUGGCUCACGUUUUGGGCCUAGCCCUGGGAUCUUCAACCGGGACAGUGGUAAUGGGUAUAAUCCACCCAAUUUCUGCUGCUCGGUCACGGGAGGAGGCUGAUACGUCCAGGCGUCGUGAUUUUCGCAGCUCGGAUGGUGCUCUGGUUGGGCGUUCAUAUCCGAAGCUUCCUAUUCCUAUCACUGUUCCCAGGUGGGACAAAUCAUUGGGAGGGGAGACUAGUGUUGUUAAAUCUGCAAUCCACACUGGUUCUUCGUCUGACAGUAAUGUAGCUUUUUUUUUGAGAGAACAGGAGGGGGGAGCCCCUACUGAAAAUUUUAUUAUAACUAGAAAAAAGCAGUGUUUAGAACAUACAGGUAGACAUAUUACAGAAGGUUAGGGUGAGUUACUACUGCCAUUGCUGAAGCCAGUCAGGGAUGACGCAAUCAAAUCUACUCUGAGCUCUAUGAGUGACCGACAGUAAUGUAGCUUCCCUCCGCGCUUACCGUCGUGCCCGAGGUCUAUGCCAGUAUUGUGCUGAAAAUGGAAGAAGGGCCACAAAUGUGCUCAGACUGUACAGCUACAUGCUAUCCAAGAAUUGUGGGACAUGUUAGCACCUGAAGUUCCUGAAUCAGAAGGAGAAAUUGAGGAUUCCACUGAGCAAUUCAUGAUGUUACUUUCCCAAGAAGCAUUUUCUGAAAAGGCUACAACAUCUACAUUCCGACUUCAAGGUUGUAUUCAAGGCCUACCAUUGUUGAUUCAUCUGGAUUUUGGAAGCUCUCACUCAUUUUUGAAUGCUGCUCUCAGUUCUUCCUUGCAUGGUGUUUCUUCCCUGCAUCAACCACUGUCUGUUCGGGUUGCUAAUGGUAAUAUUUUACACUGUACGAGUCAGCUAUCUAAGGCAGUCUGGUCUGUCCAGAAUAUGCAGUUCUAGUCGGAUCUCAAGCUUCUCCAUCUUUCUUGCUAUGAUUUGAUCAUGGGUAUGGAUUGGCUUGCACUACACAGUCCCAUGCAUGUUGAUUGGAAACAUAAAUGGUUGUCUCUCUCAUAUCAGGAUCAGCCAAUUGUUAUAUAUGGUCUGCAACCUUUGGCCCCUUCUAGCUCUCUGUUGGAGAUCACGCAACAGGAAACUCUAACAGUUACAUCACCACAACUGUGUACUCUGUCCGAAGCUGAAGUACUUCUGGUAGCGGUUCACCAGAUUUUGUGCACAUUUUAGUCACUGUUUGAGGAACCGACCAGUCUUUUACCAAGCAGGUUUUGUGACCACACUAUUCCCUUAAUUGCAGGUGCCCGCCCUGUUAAUAUCUGGCCCUACCGGUUCUCUCCUGCCAUGAAGGAUGAAGUGGAAACUCAAGUAUACGAUAUGUUACGCAGUGGGCUCAUACAACCAAGCUCCAGUGCAUUUUGUUCUCCAGUCAUCUUAGUCAAAAAGAAGGAUCAGACUUGGCGCUUCUAUGUUGACUAUAGACAUUUAAAUGCACUCACUGUUAAGCCAAGUACCCAGUUCCUGUUAUCGAUGAGCUAUUGGAUUAAUUGUUUGGAGCUUCCUGGUUUUCCAUAUUGGAUUUGCGAGCAAGAUUCCAUCAGAUACUGCUCAAGUUGGAGGAAGAACAUAAGACUGCAUACCAAACGCACAUGGGACACUACGAAUUCUGUGUCAUGGCAUUUGCUCACUAGUGCUCUAGGCACGUUUCAAAGGGCCAUGAAUCAUACACUAGCUCCGCUCUUACGCAAGUGUGUUCUGGUGUUCUUCGACAACAUUUUGAUUUAUAGUGUCAAUUGGGAGGAUCACCUUCGUGUCA
Long non-coding RNA from Zea mays, 2327 nucleotides. RefSeq lists it as uncharacterized. The record is from RefSeq and is a predicted model, not a curated record. Lineage: Eukaryota; Viridiplantae; Streptophyta; Magnoliopsida; Poales; Poaceae. The transcript has 2 exons.